UUUGGUGGUUAUAUAGCAGGUGUUCACCUCUUCCCAUUCCGAACAGAGAAGUUAAGCCCUGUUUAGCCGAUGAUACUGGACUAACCCGUCUGGGAAAGUAGGUUGCUGCCAGAA
Molecule: ribosomal RNA, 114 nt
Filed under: Petrimonas sp.
Lineage: Bacteria; Pseudomonadati; Bacteroidota; Bacteroidia; Bacteroidales; Dysgonomonadaceae
Also listed under: 2 other names
Source: RNAcentral